UACGGAGGGGACUAGCGUUGUUCGGAAUUACUGGGCGUAAAGCGCACGUAGGCGGAUCUUUAAGUCGGGGGUGAAAUCCUGGAGCUCAACUCCAGAACUGCCUUCGAUACUGAGGAUCUUGAGUUCGGGAGAGGUGAGUGGAACUGCGAGUGUAGAGGUGAAAUUCGUAGAUAUUCGCAAGAACACCAGUGGCGAAGGCGGCUCACUGGCCCGAUACUGACGCUGAGGUGCGAAAGCGUGGGGAGCAAACAGG
This 253-nucleotide ribosomal RNA is filed under the name uncultured bacterium. Its description in RNAcentral is "partial 16S ribosomal RNA". It matches the Rfam family "Bacterial small subunit ribosomal RNA", at positions 524 to 776 of the family's 1533-position model. The record is from RNAcentral.